CUGAUCCAUGGCACCUCACCUACCCUUAAAAGACAGCGUGGCUACUGAAGCAGCUAAUGGCGGAUACAUUUUUUUAUGCAACAAUCGUCAUGUUUGGUCACGUUGGGGACAUAAACAGACACUGAUGUUUGGAGCGCAUGUGGAGGCUAGCGCUGAUGCAGACCCAAAUGCUGAGCCAAGGAGAAAAUCUGCAAGAUUAUUAAAAUUGAAAGAGACAGAGGAAAAGCCAGAAAAGCCAGAAAAGAAAAAGGCACCUGCCAAGAAAGAUGUGAAAAAACCAGCAAAGGCUAAGCCAGAGGAGAAGAAAGAAGAACCUCAGGCAGAGACAGAAGAGGCUCCAGCAGAAAACGGGGAGGCCAAAGCUGAGGAGACCACAGCUGCAGAGGAACAGGCGAACGGCACAGAGGAACAGCCAGACGGUGAAGAGGAACAGCCGAAUGGCGAAGAGGAAAAAGAAGCAGAGUAGAAGCGAUACCUCUGAACUCAUUUGCCAAUGCUCCCUGUACCUCCUUUGUUGUAAAAUGCAGAGAAUAUUUUUAUCUACUAUUUUCUUAUGACAACAAUGUUUUUAGGGAUGUGAUUGCAUUUUUUUCCUAAAUACUACAACUUCCAUUCACUCUCAUGACUUGUGUGAAGGGAAGGUCUCUGUCAUUAUGUUCUUUUGGUCAUUUUGUUGUUAGAUUGUAGUUUUGUUUUGUUUUUUUCUGCAUGGCAUGCAAUAAUGCCUUCAUCAGGAAUGGGAGAGUUUACCUGAAACAUUCCCAAAGAAUUUUAAGAGAUUUUGUAACCUGUACUGUGUUGAAUACACAUCAAAAUACUGUUUGUUUGAUAAUGGGAUGAUUUGAAAGUUUGAAGCUUGUAUUCUAUGCUUUAACAAAAUGCCUUGUUCACAAUGUUCACUUUCAUCAUUUUCACAAGGAGUCCGGGAGUUGGUUUUCACUUUAAGGUACAAUUGAGAACGGUUAAAUUAAUCAAUGUUCUAAGCUAUGCUCAAAACAAAAAUGCAUUACAGUUAGUCAUAUUUGAUAUGGUUUUGGGAUUUGUCUACCAAUGUACAGUUUCCUCCUUUAAAAAAAAAAAAAAUGUUUUCUUUGUUUUGGAUGGUAUGAAAUGCCAAUUAAAGUGGGGAAUUUCUUUUAAGUAUUUGUCUUUCAUCAGCUAUAUUGUAUUUAAGUCUGCCUGCAUUGAUCCAUUUACCAGGACAGAUUGCAGAUGUUUCUUUUCUGUUGCCUGGAAUGACGUACUGCUGCUCUUUUUGAUUCACUUUAGUGAGAUUUAGAUAAUAGGAAAAGAAUCCUUGAACUAAUGCCAAUUACUCUGAAUGUUGCAUUUCUCAUUUUGCUUUAUAAGAGAGCUAGUGAAGAGUCUGGCAUAUGGGGUUGAUACAUUUUUGAAAAGGUUGUUGCAUGUGCAUAUUGAACUUUGAUAAAAGAAUAUGGCCAGAUUAUUGUGCUAGGAUCAAGGCUGUGCAAAAGAAAAAAAAAAUGCCACUGAGCACUCACUGUGCUCUCCGGAUAUUAUAGUCCAGAAUGCUAUCUGGCUCUACAUUGUCUAUGCCUUUAAAACUGAUCAAGAACAUGCAUCAUGUAAGAAUUGUAUUAGCUGAUUUAAUGAAAGCCUUGAAACGAGGCAUUGUCAUGAAGAAGAAUCCACUUGAAGUCUUUGAUCGGCGGGUUAUUUCCUAUAAAGUAUUUU
Molecule: long non-coding RNA, 1695 nt
Organism: Amphiprion ocellaris (clown anemonefish)
Lineage: Eukaryota; Metazoa; Chordata; Actinopteri; Pomacentridae
Source: Ensembl